Molecule: ribosomal RNA, 253 nt
Filed under: uncultured bacterium
Lineage: Bacteria
Description: partial 16S ribosomal RNA
Rfam family: Bacterial small subunit ribosomal RNA
Source: RNAcentral
UACGUAGGGUGCGAGCGUUAAUCGGAAUGACUGGGCGUAAAGGGUGCGCAGGCGGUUUUGUAAGUCUGACGUGAAAUCCCCGGGCUCAACCUGGGAAUUGCGUUGGAGACUGCAAGGCUAGAAUCUGGCAGAGGGGGGUAGAAUUCCACGUGUAGCAGUGAAAUGCGUAGAGAUGUGGAGGAACACCGAUGGCGAAGGCAGCCCCCUGGGUCAAGAUUGACGCUCAUGCACGAAAGCGUGGGGAGCAAACAGG